CCUACGGGAGGCAGCAGUGGGGGCUAUUGCACAAUGGGGGGAACCCUGAUGCAGCGACGCCACGUGGGUGAAGAAGCGCCUCGGCGCGUAAAGCCCUGUCAGCAGGGAAGAAAAUGACGGUACCUGAAGAAGAAGCACCGGCUAACUACGUGCCAGCAGCCGCGGUAAUACGUAGGGGGCAAGCGUUAUCCGGAUUUACUGGGUGUAAGGGGGGCGCAGACGGCGAGGCAAGCCAGGAGUGAAAGCCCGGGGCCCAACCCCGGGACUGCUCUUGGAACUGCGUGGCUGGAGUGCAGGAGGGGCAGGCGGAAUUCCUGGUGUAGCGGUGAAAUGCGUAGAUAUCAGGAGGAACACCGGUGGCGAAGGCGGCCUGCUGGACUGCAACUGACGUCGAGGCCCGAAAGCGUGGGGAGCAAACAGGAUUAGAUACCCUAGUAGUC
This 440-nucleotide ribosomal RNA is filed under the name uncultured bacterium. Its description in RNAcentral is "partial 16S ribosomal RNA". It matches the Rfam family "Bacterial small subunit ribosomal RNA", at positions 338 to 795 of the family's 1533-position model. The record is from RNAcentral.